This 254-nucleotide ribosomal RNA is filed under the name uncultured bacterium. RNAcentral describes it as "partial 16S ribosomal RNA". It matches the Rfam family "Bacterial small subunit ribosomal RNA", at positions 524 to 776 of the family's 1533-position model. The record is from RNAcentral.
UACAGAGGGUGCGAGCGUUGUCCGGAAUCACUGGGCGUAAAGGGCGCGUAGGUGGCGACCCAAGUCGAUGGUGAAAGCUCGCCGCUCAACGGCGAGUCGGCCACCGAUACUGGGUUGCUGGAGCACUGUAGAGGCAGAUGGAAUUCCGGGUGUAGCGGUGGAAUGCGUAGAGAUCCGGAAGAACACCGGUGGCGAAGGCGGUCUGCUGGGCAGUUGCUGACACUGAGGCGCGGACAGCGUGGGGAGCAAACAGG